GAUGAACGCUGGCGGCGUGCUUAACACAUGCAAGUCGAACGGAAAGGCUCCUGCUUGCAGGGGUACUCGAGUGGCGAACGGGUGAGUAACACGUGGGUGAUCUGCCCUGCACUUCGGGAUAAGCCUGGGAAACUGGGUCUAAUACCGGAUAGGACCACAUUUUGGAUGGUGUGGUGGAAAGUUUUUCGGUGUGGGAUGAGCUCGCGGCCUAUCAGCUUGUUGGUGGGGUAAUGGCCUACCAAGGCGUCGACGGGUAGCCGGCCUGAGAGGGGGUACGGCCACAUUGGGGCUGAGAUACGGCCCAGACUCCUACGGGGGGCAGCAGUGGGGAGUAUUGCACAAUGGGCGCAAGCCUGAUGCAGCGACGCCGCGUGGGGGAUGACGGCCUUCGGGGUGUAAACUCCUUUCGCUAGGGACGAAGCGUUUUUGUGACGGUACCUGGAGAAGAAGCACCGGCUAACUACGUG
This 467-nucleotide ribosomal RNA is filed under the name uncultured bacterium. Its description in RNAcentral is "partial 16S ribosomal RNA". It matches the Rfam family "Bacterial small subunit ribosomal RNA", at positions 28 to 507 of the family's 1533-position model. The record is from RNAcentral.